This 851-nucleotide ribosomal RNA is filed under the name uncultured marine bacterium. RNAcentral's name for it is "bacterial SSU rRNA". It matches the Rfam family "Bacterial small subunit ribosomal RNA", at positions 37 to 934 of the family's 1533-position model. The record is from RNAcentral.
GGGCGGCGGCGUCUCUACCAUGCAGUCGAAGAGGUCUUCGGACUUAGUGGCGGACGGGUGAGUAACGCGUGAGGAUCUGCCCUUAGGAGGGGGACAACUUUUGGAAACGGAAGCUAAUACCCCAUAUGUCGAGAGAUGAAACUUUUUGGCCUGAGGAUGAACUCGCGUCUGAUUAGCUAGUUGGUGGGGUAAUGGCUUACCAAGGCGACGAUCAGUAGCUGUUCUGAGAGGAAGAUCAGCCACACUGGGACUGAGACACGGCCCAGACUCCUACGGGAGGCAGCAGUGGGGAAUUUUCCGCAAUGGGCGCAAGCCUGACGGGGCAACGCCGCGUGAGGGAGGAAUGUCUGUGGAUUGUAAACCUCUUUUCUCUGGGAAGAAGAUCUGACGGUACCAGAGGAAUCAGCAUCGGCUAACUCCGUGCCAGCGGCCGCGGUAAGACGGAGGAUGCAAGCGUUAUCCGGAAUUAUUGGGCGUAAAGCGUCCGUAGGCGGUUAAUUAAGUCAGUUGUUAAAGACUGCAGCUCAACUGUGGGAGAGCAACUGAAACUGGUUGACUAGAGUAUGGUAGGGGUAGAGGGAAUUCCUAGUGUAGCGGUGAAAUGCGUAGAUAUUAGGAAGAACACCAGUGGCGAAGGCGCUCUACUGGGCCAAGACUGACGCUGAUGGACGAAAGCUAGGGGAGCGAAAGGGAUUAGAUACCCCUGUAGUCCUAGCUGUAAACGAUGGAUACUAGGUGUUGUGCGUAUCGACCCGUGCAGUACCGAAGCAAACGCGUUAUGUAUCCCGCCUGGGGAGUACGCACGCAAGUGUGAAACUCAAAGGAAAUUGACGGGGCCCGCACAAGCGGUG